This 253-nucleotide ribosomal RNA is filed under the name uncultured bacterium. RNAcentral describes it as "partial 16S ribosomal RNA". It matches the Rfam family "Bacterial small subunit ribosomal RNA", at positions 524 to 776 of the family's 1533-position model. The record is from RNAcentral.
GACGAACCGUGCGAACGUUAUUCGGAAUUACUGGGCGUAAAGCGUGUGUAGGCGGCUAGGUAAGUCGGAUGUGAAAGUCCAGGGCUCAACCCUGGAAUGCCGGUGGAUACUGUCGGGCUAGAGUCCGGAAGGGGCGAGUGGAAUUCCUGGUGUAGCGGUGAAAUGCGCAGAUAUCAGGAGGAACACCAAUGGCGAAGGCAGCUCGCUGGGACGUGACUGACGCUGAGACGCGAAAGCGUGGGGAGCAAACAGG